CCCUUAGAUGUUCUGGGCCGCACGCGCGCUGCACUGAAGGGAUCAGCGUGUUUUCCCUUUCCGAGAGGAACGGGUAACCCGCUGAACCCCCUUCGUGGUAGGGAUCGGAGCUUGCAAUUGUUCUCCGUGAACCAGGAAUUCCCAGUAAGCGCAAGUCAUAAGCUUGCGUUGAUUACGUCCCUGCCCUUUGUACACACCGCCCGUCGCUACUACCGAUUGAACGUUUUAGUGAGGUAUUUGGACUGGGCCUUGGGAGGUUUCGGCCUCCCUUGUUGCUCGGAAAGACUCCCAAACUUGAGCGUUUAGAGGAAGUAAAAGUCGUAACA
RNAcentral lists this ribosomal RNA (326 nucleotides) under uncultured eukaryote. RNAcentral describes it as "partial 18S ribosomal RNA". It matches the Rfam family "Eukaryotic small subunit ribosomal RNA", at positions 1470 to 1796 of the family's 1831-position model. The record is from RNAcentral.